This is a long non-coding RNA of Mus musculus (house mouse), 582 nucleotides long. RefSeq annotates it as predicted gene, 36553. The record is from RefSeq and is a predicted model, not a curated record. NCBI's taxonomy places the organism in Eukaryota, Metazoa, Chordata, Mammalia, Rodentia, Muridae. The transcript is spliced from 3 exons.
AAAUGAGUCAUGUCCCAGAAAAUCACAUUAUUUUAAGGAGGCAAAGAGACUAUGAGACCUGGGCAGUGAGAUGCCAUAGAAAACCUGUAUCGGCAUCUGAACCUCAAUGGCCUGAGUAUCAGCCGUGAAAAGGACAGAAAUCAAAUGAGCUAAGAGAUGUCUGUUCUUCCCGUGGAAAUAACCCAGGCUGCCUGUCCUGGCUUUUCCCUGUUGCAUCAGUUCUCAGAUGUUACCAUCCAUCAGAACCAUGUGGAGAUAGCUGGGCUCUUGCCAGAGUUGGAUUCAGUAGGUCUGAGGAUGGCCCAAGAACCUGCCUCAUUUCAGUUCCAUCAUUACUUUCUAUUUCUUAUAAUAUUAAUGCUGUCACCACGUUUACACUUGAUUCAUCUGUCUACAGUGUUGACUGUGGGUGUGUUGUAACUAAGUUAUACCAAUGCCAAGGAAUUCCUGGCCCUUCCAUCUUUGCUGAAAUGAAUCUUAAAGUUAACUUGGAUUGCUUAUCAUUCCCCCUUUCUCUUCCAAGUCUUUAAAAAAAAAAAAAACAAUGUAACAGAUUUAUUCAGUUUUGCAAGGGAAGAAGAA